GGUCGGAUAGCUCAACAGGAUAGAGCAACAGCCUUCUAAGCUGUAGGUUCUGGGUUCGAGUCCCAGUCCGAUCA
This 74-nucleotide transfer RNA is filed under the name Porphyromonas sp. RNAcentral describes it as "tRNA-Arg". It matches the Rfam family "tRNA". Rfam says of the family: Transfer RNA (tRNA) molecules are approximately 80 nucleotides in length. Lineage: Bacteria; Pseudomonadati; Bacteroidota; Bacteroidia; Bacteroidales; Porphyromonadaceae. The record is from RNAcentral.